GCUUCCGUGGCACAGUUGGUAGCGCGCAUCCUUGGUAAGGAUGAGGUCGGCGGUUCAAGUCCGCUCGGAAGCU
RNAcentral lists this transfer RNA (73 nucleotides) under Lachnospiraceae bacterium. Its description in RNAcentral is "tRNA-Thr". It matches the Rfam family "tRNA". From Rfam's summary of the family: Transfer RNA (tRNA) molecules are approximately 80 nucleotides in length. Their secondary structure includes four short double-helical elements and three loops (D, anti-codon, and T loops). Further hydrogen bonds mediate the characteristic L-shaped molecular structure. tRNAs have two regions of fundamental functional importance: the anti-codon, which is responsible for specific mRNA codon recognition, and the 3' end, to which the tRNAs corresponding amino acid is attached (by aminoacyl-tRNA synthetases). tRNAs cope with the degeneracy of the genetic code in two manners: having more than one tRNA (with a specific anti-codon) for a particular amino acid; and 'wobble' base-pairing, i.e. permitting non-standard base-pairing at the 3rd anti-codon position. The record is from RNAcentral. Lineage: Bacteria; Bacillati; Bacillota; Clostridia; Lachnospirales; Lachnospiraceae.